This is a long non-coding RNA of Talpa occidentalis (Iberian mole), 3630 nucleotides long. RefSeq lists it as uncharacterized. The transcript is spliced from 3 exons. The record is from RefSeq and is a predicted model, not a curated record. Lineage: Eukaryota; Metazoa; Chordata; Mammalia; Eulipotyphla; Talpidae.
AGGCCCCGGAGAUGCAGGCAGGAAACAGAAACAGCUCAGGGCAAAGCUGACUAGGCACAGAGAGUGCCCUGCCAGGCUAUGAAAGGCUGUGAGUGAUGAGGGCAAAGUGGUGCCACCGUGUUGGCCUCUGUUCCCGUUCGGGGAAGGCCACGUCGGACAGGCCAUCACAUUCUUGUCUCCAGCAAGCUGGGACCACCCCAGGCCAAAGACUCACUGACACGCUCACUGUACCCAACAAAAACAGAAUGUGUCUUUGGCCCAAGACAGACGGAGCAGAGAAGAAUAGCAUCCCCAGCACCAUCUUUGAAUUUCUGCCGGAAAUGCCACACAUGAGCUUCCAAACACACGCCUCGCGCCUGGCUGGUGUCUAAGGAAAACAGAUGUUUUUCAACUGGGAAAUGAGUAACAUGGAAACUACUGGACACUUUCUAGACUGAAUCCUGCGCAUCAUCAUCACUGAAAAGAUUCUUCAGUCAAGACACCAGUAAACAUGAUCUUCUAAAUGACCAGUGUGACAAAUACCAUGAUUCAAUUAUUAUAAACUUCUUCCCGGGGGUUAGAAAUGAUCCCUGACGUGCUUCCUGGCCAGUUGAGACUUGGCCAAAGAGUUUAUCACGUUCUUCCUUCCAGCGUCAGGAAACGCCCACUCUGGCUCUGAGUCACUGUGAUCACCAUCAGGGGCAGCCCCUCAGCUUCCACUGCUCCUUCCAUGAACUCACUGGGUGGGGGAGACCCUGGCCACAAGUCAGGGAUCUGAUCCCCCCACCCCCCACCCGCCACUGGCUGCUUACUAGGGAGGUGACCUGGCGAGAGGCAGGGAGGAGGGAGGUCAUGCAGAGAAAACCCAAAAGAAGGGCAACAGGGAGCCACAGAUCACUGGCCUUGAAAGACACAUAACUAUGUCGGCCAGCCUGGAAAUAACAGGAGCGGCAGUGAGGAGACGGAGGCCUGCAGGCCCCGGGAGAGGCCCUCCGCCUCCUUCAGAGGAAGACACGGAAGAAGGGUUGGAGGAACCAGCGCUAAGAUGCCUGCGAAGCUUUAAGCACAUGCCAGCUGCGACCCAACCAAGACAGCGGCCCCGCAGCAGCCGUGCCCAGACGCGCGCCGGGAUGGCGGAUUUCCACAAAACCCAUUCCAGUGACCUUUUAAUCAAACAGUGUCACCCUAAACGUGUCAGGCUAAUAAAGCGGGAAGUGCCGUGGAAGAGGCUGCUUGCAAGCGUAGCCCUGCCUCCCUAUACCACCGCAGAGGGGAUCCGUCGGCAAGCAGCGGGGUGGGCCGCGUGGCGCUCCAACAGACCCAGACAACCGGCGGGCGGGUCCGUCCAGACAAGUAUCCGGGCGCAGGAGUAAAUCCUGGGGGACUGGAGCGCUUCCAUCUACACAUACUGAGUGUGCAAGGGCGGCUCCGCCCAGCUCGAUGCACCCCACAGCCGGGUCACACAGCAGCAAGGUCCUCGGCACUGAAGAUCAAAGUCUGGCUCCCAACCUGCACAGCACGUGUUUCUCUCUCGCCAGGACGGCUGAGGGUCUCUGGAUUUAUGUUCUGACUGUGCUCAUCUUCCAGGAAGUCUGGGAAAAGGCCACGCAGGCAUCGGCCCACGUGGGGGGGUUUUCCUAUGAUAACUAUAGGCUGCAAGAGUUGUGUUUUUUUAGCAGAACAAAAGCAAAAGUCAUACCUAUUAAGAGUGGGUGGGUUUUUGGUUUAAAAUGAGCAACAGAGCAUAGAGAAUUUUCUACUGAUCACCAAAACGGAGGCGCGAUGCCUACUAUUGGGUUGUUGGAAAAGUCAUGAUACAUCGUUGUUUGAAAAACAGAAAAAAUACGUCAUGACUUUUGUGACAACCCAGUAUUUUUGAUCUAUCAGUGCAGGCAUGCAGUCAACUGUCUGGGUGCCAAUCAUGGCCCUCCACUUAGCCAACUGCUGGCCAAGGUGAGUCACUUUCCGGAGGCUCGACUCUCUUCUGCCGCUCCACACGCCUUGGCUCCUCGAGAAGCUGUGAGGACUCACUGACCAAAGCAGCCGGGCUCCCACAGAGCUACGGGAGGGCUGAGCCGGGGGGGGGCAGACACUGAGCCUAUGGGUCUUGCUUCUGAUGAAAAAACCUCAGAAGAGAUGGGCCAGCAGAGAACUGCCAGUUUCUGGGCAGUCGGACAGGGGUGUGCAUGGGGCUGGACCGUAGGAGAGCCGAGCUCCUGAAACAAACAGGGCGGCUGUGAUGUGCAAGUCCCUUACUCCCGAGAUGCUGUGCUGAUGACGCAAGCUUUCCAAAUUCUGCUGUGAAGAACAAGCCAAGCAACCCAAGUGGGGAUCAGCAGCGGCCAGCUGGGAAGGCCCAAGAAGGAGUGUUGAGAGGCACGUCUAGCCGAGGAAAACCCAGAGUGGGAAGCAGCCUUCCUCGGGACAGGAAAGACGAACUGGAAUGGGGCCUCGUGCAGUGUUUCUUCUUCAUCCACAACACUCAGAGGCUGCCCUGCCAUCAAGUACUUGUGUGAGGGCCAAGAAGAGCUGACAGUUGUUCUAGUCAGCCCAGGGGCCUUUCCAGAAAACUCCCGUGAGGCUGAUGAUUACGUUACGUUCAUGUAUCUAUCUUUAUGCUUUCUCUAAACCAGAUGUCACCAAAGAGCAGAACUGUCUCAAACGCCCGGGCCUGCCGCAGGGGACUACAUGGGCGUUUGAUGAGUAUGGGGUGUGCUGAUGGCCACUGAGCACAGUGCCCACAGGGCGGCUGUCCUUGGCUUUGAGGUCAUCACAUCUGCCCAGCACGCGAGCUCUGGGACAGCAGGCAAGAGCUCCACGGGCAGUCUGCUCUGCUCGGCGCUGUGUCUGGGACACUGCCUGGCGUGAUAAACCAGUGACGGCACCAUGAGCCAAAGGCACUAAGACUCCCAGGGAACCAGGUGUCUUUCUCAUUCACUUAAUUCAAUUAAUCUAUACUCACAUCCAGUGAGGUACCUGCCACCAUCUCUUUUUUCCAGAUAAGGAAAGCGAGGCACAGAGGGUCAGCGGCGGGGCCUGGAUUAGAACGUGGCCGCCUGAUGUGGUCCCCGCACUGAUGACUCUUAAACAGAUCUGCACUGAAACAACAGGAGGAGACCCAAACUAAGCCCCAGAAUGUGGCAGGAUUUGAGCUCACCUUCAUGUGUAAGUCCCUGCAAAGUGUGAGGCUGCUGGGGAGCCACUGUCCCCCCUCCCCUGCUCGGCCUUUCCAGGCUGCAGACCAGAAUCUGUCAGUAAAAGGACUCUCGGGGAGGCCCCACCAGAAGUGGAGAACAUGGGAGCUGUGCCCUCAACAGGUUCCCUUGGAAAUCGGGUCAGAGCUCUGACAGCCCACGGCCGUUCUCCAGCCACGCUCCCGGCUUCCGACGCAGGGCCGACUCUGCCUCUUCCCCUCUCCUCAGACGACUGCCCUUGACCUGCCCUUCUUCCACCCAGGCCCCACAGGCUGCGUGUGAGUGUGCAGAUUUGUGCACACACACCCUUCCACCCACUUGGUGCCGUCUGGUGUCUCACACCCAAGGAGCAGAGGAAGAGAGACCAGAAUCUGCCAGUAUAGAGCCGUCAUUUUUUUUUUUCACAAUGGUAAAAAUGUAUAAAAAGUUCUGAAAGUCAAAAGCUUUCUCAUCAAUG